GGAUGAGUAUUGCGCAAUGGAGGCAACUCUGACGCAGCCAUGCCGCGUGCAGGAUGAAGGCGCUACGCGUUGUAAAACUGCUUUUUAACCGGGGAAGAAACCCUCCGACGUGUCGGAGGUUGACGGUACCGGAGGAAUAAGCACCGGCUAACUUCGUGCCAGCAGCCGCGGUAAUACGAAGGGUGCAAGCGUUAUCCGGAUUCAUUGGGUUUAAAGGGUGCGUAGGCGGAGCACUAAGUCAGUGGUGAAAUCCCGCAGCUCAACUGUGGAAUUGCCAUUGAUACUGGUGCUCUUGAGUGUGGUUGACGUGGGCGGAAUGUGCCGUGUAGCGGUGAAAUGCUUAGAUAUGGCACAGAGUUACCGAUCGCGAAGGCAGCUCGCGAAGCCACAA
RNAcentral lists this ribosomal RNA (391 nucleotides) under uncultured Bacteroidota bacterium. RNAcentral's name for it is "bacterial SSU rRNA". It matches the Rfam family "Bacterial small subunit ribosomal RNA", at positions 355 to 739 of the family's 1533-position model. The record is from RNAcentral. Lineage: Bacteria; Pseudomonadati; Bacteroidota.